This 445-nucleotide ribosomal RNA is filed under the name uncultured bacterium. RNAcentral describes it as "partial 16S ribosomal RNA". It matches the Rfam family "Bacterial small subunit ribosomal RNA", at positions 29 to 507 of the family's 1533-position model. The record is from RNAcentral.
AACGAACGCUGGCGGCAGGCUUAACACAUGCAAGUCGAACGAGCUGGGGGCUUCGGUCCCCGAUGCUAGUUGCGCACGGGUGAGUAACACGUGGGAAUAUGCCCUUUAGUACGGAAUAACCAAGGUAAACUUUGGCUAAUACCGUAUACGCCCUUCGGGUGAACGAUUUAUCGCUAAAGGAUUAGCCCGCGUCUGUUUAGCUAGUUGGUGAGGUAAUGCCUCACCAAGCCGACGAUCAGUAGCUGGUCUGAGAGGAUGAUCAGCCACACUGGAACUGAGACACGGCCGAGAAUCCUACGGGAGGCAGCAGUGGGGAAUAGUGGACAAUGGGGGGAACCAUGAUCCAGCCAGGACGCGUGAAUGAAGAAGGCAGUCGGGUUGUAAAGCUCUUUCGACGGGGACGAUGAUGACGGUACCCGUAUAAGAAGCCCCGGCAAACUUCGUG